Molecule: long non-coding RNA, 200 nt
Filed under: Gossypium barbadense (sea-island cotton)
Lineage: Eukaryota; Viridiplantae; Streptophyta; Magnoliopsida; Malvales; Malvaceae
Description: long non-coding RNA (GBAR_LNC014226)
Source: RNAcentral
AAAACACUCCGUGCUUGUUCACUUUCAUCCUUUUCGCUUAUUUCUUUUUCCAACUCAUUUUCAAAUCCUCUUUCUUUUACCAUAUCAUUCAUUUCUUUUGACUCUCGUUUCUUUCUUCAAUCUCACUCUCUUUUUCAGUUUUCUUUUCUUUUUCACACUCAUUUUUAUUCUCAAUCUCAUUUUCAAUUUUCUUUUCUAUC